AUUUUGGGAAGGUUCCGGCCGGAACACACAAAAAAUCGAAGGCAGGAAACCGCCGGACUCUGAAAGACGGGUUCGGGGCAAUUUGAGUCUUCACCACCAGACAGCAACCGUACAAAACUAAAGAACUGAGCGCGAUGAGGGUAAAUCCGGAUCUGGACUCCUUUCCCACCAUCAGCAGAAGAACCGAAGGAGAAGAAGCGCCGACCAACAACCAGAACAGGGUGGAAGCUCUGACACCACAGCAGCUGGAGGACACAGACCACAGCAUGGACGCCUCACAGACUCCACAACGUCUGCAGCCAUCACGUUCUGGGCUCAUCAGAUGAACCAGCUACUACAAGCCCUGCACCAGCAUGAAAGGACUGUGUCUGAAGCUUCUGAAGCCGUGAAAGUGUCAUACACGCGUGUGUGUCUGACAGACACCUGCUUAUGACAAUCAGCAAAGGAAAACAAGGACAGAGCAACAGCAGAGUGAGAAGACGUGCUCUAACACAGACACUGGUUGAAACAACAGGAGAGGCUUCAGAUGUGAUCGGCUCAAAAGAGCUGCAUGCGAGGAUCCAGGAAAGGUCUGUCAUCGAGGAACAACUGUCCCAUCGAAAGGCUUCACCCGCUGGCGCUCACAUCAGACUGAUGGUUGGGGAAGGAGGAAGGUGACGGUUCCUUUUCACGUGACGUACAAGACGGUACCGCAAACACACACACACACAUUCAUACACGCAAUGAAGAAACACGCUUACAGCUGAUACACGCUCAAA
Molecule: long non-coding RNA, 758 nt
Organism: Betta splendens (Siamese fighting fish)
Lineage: Eukaryota; Metazoa; Chordata; Actinopteri; Anabantiformes; Osphronemidae
Exons: 2
Source: RefSeq, a predicted model, not a curated record